Molecule: ribosomal RNA, 255 nt
Filed under: uncultured bacterium
Lineage: Bacteria
Description: partial 16S ribosomal RNA
Rfam family: Bacterial small subunit ribosomal RNA
Source: RNAcentral
UACGUAGGGUGCGAGCGUUGUCCGGAAUUAUUGGGCGUAAAGGGCUCGUAGGCGGCUUGUCGCGCUCGACUGUGAAAACCCGUGGCUCAACCAUGUGGUCUGCAGUCGAUACGGGCAGGCUAGAAUUCGGUAGGGGAGACUGGAAUUCCUGGUGUAGCGGUGAAAUGCGCAGAUAUCAGGAGGAACACCGGUGGCGAAGGCGGGUCUCUGGGCCGAUAUUGACGCUGAGAAGCGAAAGCGUGGGGAGCGAACAGG